GAGAGUAUAAUUAUUUUUGGUUUGUAGUCAAAUUUGUUUUUCUUUUAUAUUUAUAAUUUUUAGGUGAAAUUUUAAUUUUAGGUAUUUUAGUUUAAAUUUGAAUCUAUGAAACUUAUUAUAUAAACAAGGAUUAGAUACCCUUUUAUUGUAAGUGUAAAUUGUUAAUCAGGGUAGUAAUAGUUAUGUUCUUGAAACUCAAAGAAUUUGGCGGUAUUUUAUUCUUUUUAGAGGAACCUGUCCUGUGAUCGACAUUCCACGAUGAUGAGUUACUUUCCUUUGUUUUUCAGUUUGUAUACCUCCGUCAUAAGAGUAUCUUUUUAGAGUGAAUAUUCCUAUUAUAGAAAAUAUUAAAUGUCAGGUCAAGGUGCAAUUUAUAGGUUAGAAGAGAUGGGUUACAAUGGAAUUAUCUAUAUGGAUUAAAAUAAUUAUUUAUUUUAUGAAGGUGGAUUUAAAAGUAAAAUUGAGGUCUAAUUAAUUCGACUUUAGCUCUAGAAUAUGCACACAUCGCCCGUCGCUCUUACA
This 522-nucleotide ribosomal RNA is filed under the name Macromia taeniolata. Its description in RNAcentral is "partial 12S ribosomal RNA". The record is from RNAcentral. Lineage: Eukaryota; Metazoa; Arthropoda; Insecta; Odonata; Macromiidae.